AAUUGAAGGAUUACAAACUCAACCGUACUGAAGAACUGCUAAGGGUUUAUCCAGGAUUGUACCACCUGCUAGGCGAGCCCAUCAAGAAGGCGGACGUCGACGUCAAUGAGGAGGUGAAACAGAACGGCGGCGGCACAAUUGGAUACAGCCGGUUAAAGGCUCCCAGAAGCGGGGUAAUUUGCUGAGCGAGGGCAAAUUGAAUAACGUGGGCGAAGUUGGACCUGGACAACGAUGCGAACCGAUGGUUGGUUAGCCGAAAGCCGGAGUGAUGACUGUGAGCGGAAAAUCCGGAUGUUUCGAAAUUCAGAACAAUAUAGCGAUUCACCGAGCUUUUGAUGAUCGAGGA
Long non-coding RNA from Aedes albopictus (Asian tiger mosquito), 346 nucleotides. RefSeq lists it as uncharacterized. The record is from RefSeq and is a predicted model, not a curated record. NCBI's taxonomy places the organism in Eukaryota, Metazoa, Arthropoda, Insecta, Diptera, Culicidae. The transcript has 2 exons.